UUCAAGUUGAAUGCAGAUUUGUCAAAGGCGGUAUCCGCACAUUGCUGGCCACCCUUGAGUGAGAACAUGAUUAUCAAGGAGACAGCAGAGUGGGUUUUAAACCGAGUGUACUUCAUGUCUUCAUUUCAUGUCUUCAUGUCUGCGAAGUGUGUGCUUGGAAAGAUACUUCUGGAAUGUUCUUCAACUCUGUUCCGAUAAAACAACGGCGUUUACUGCUUUCCUGAGGUCCCUGAGGCAAUAGUGGUGACCGUGAAAAUGGCAUGUUCCUAAAUGUCUCUCAUGGUGGGCUCUCCAGCCAGAGGAAGGGACCCCCACCCCCCAGACGAGAGUCUGAGCAGUAACACAUCUGAGCCUGGGACAUCUUCCAGAGUAUAGCAUGAGACACCUGCCAGUCUACACUAUGGUGGGAAAUCUCCAUGUGGAAAAUGGAGAGACAGAGCAGCUGAGGAGGGCUGAAAUCCAGGCAGUGUUAAUCAACUCCUUCUGCACAAAGUCAGUGGUUCUGCCUGUCCCCACUCCUGAAGUGCUGGCCUGGCUGCACAGCUGCUCAGAGCCCACAGGAGGCACCUGGAAGAGGGUGACUCUAGACUCCUUGUUUCUGAAAUAGGUUCUCAGUAGGCAGCCCCAGCUGUUCUGAAACUCCAUAUAUAGGCCAGGCCAGUCUCAAACCUGCCCCUGUCCCCUGAAUGCUGAGCGUAAAGACGUGUGCC
This 710-nucleotide long non-coding RNA is filed under the name Mus musculus (house mouse). Its description in RNAcentral is "long non-coding RNA chr18:82765785-82766495". The record is from RNAcentral. Lineage: Eukaryota; Metazoa; Chordata; Mammalia; Rodentia; Muridae.